CGCGCUCCGCCGCCCCCGCGCUCCCUACGUGGCCCGAGCCCCCAGCCCCCGGCAGCGCCGGGUGGGGGUCGAGGCCGGGCUCGGUCCUGUGCUGCCGUCAGGGCUGCGUGGGCCAGGAGGCGCGCCCAGGUGUGUUGUGCAGCUUUCUAGGCUUUAACUCCGCAGCCUGCCCGGGAGGGAGGGGGAUUCUCGGCUUGCUCCUGUAAAGCAGCUUGAGGCCCUGGGACUGCCGGCAGCGCAAGGAGCUGGGGUCAGGCUGCUGCCAGUGCAGCUGGAACAAAGUAACACAGAGCAAGCAGUUAGAGCACUGAAGAGAUUAAUUCCAGCAUUCCCCUUAGGUAUGACAAGAAACUGGCCACAACGGAGACAAAAUGGAAAGGUUAUUCCUCCCACUUUGGUGCAG
Molecule: long non-coding RNA, 403 nt
Organism: Numida meleagris (helmeted guineafowl)
Lineage: Eukaryota; Metazoa; Chordata; Aves; Galliformes; Numididae
Exons: 3
Source: RefSeq, a predicted model, not a curated record